Molecule: non-coding RNA, 102 nt
Filed under: Bacillus sp. (in: firmicutes)
Lineage: Bacteria; Bacillati; Bacillota; Bacilli; Caryophanales; Bacillaceae
Also listed under: 1 other name
Description: Bacillus sp. Guanine sequence
Rfam family: Purine riboswitch aptamer
About the family: Riboswitches are metabolite binding domains within certain messenger RNAs that serve as precision sensors for their corresponding targets. Allosteric rearrangement of mRNA structure is mediated by ligand binding, and this results in modulation of gene expression.
Source: RNAcentral
AAAUAAUAUAAUGUAAUACGUCGUAUAAUAUUGGGGAUAUGGCCCAAGAGUUUCUACCGAGCUGCCGUAAAUAGCUUGACUACGAGGUAAAGUUUAAAAAUG